Molecule: ribosomal RNA, 484 nt
Filed under: uncultured bacterium
Lineage: Bacteria
Description: partial 16S ribosomal RNA
Rfam family: Bacterial small subunit ribosomal RNA
Source: RNAcentral
AUUGAACGCUGGCGGCAUGCUUUACACAUGCAGGUCGAGCGGCAGCGCGGGCUUCGGCCUGGCGGCGAGUGGCGAACGGGUGAGUAAUACAUCGGAACGUGCCCAGUAGUGGGGGAUAGCUCGGCGAAAGCCGGAUUAAUACCGCAUACGACCUGAGGGUGAAAGCGGGGGAUCUUCGGACCUCGCGCUAUUGGAGCGGCCGAUGGCAGAUUAGCUAGUUGGUGGGGUAAAGGCCUACCAAGGCGACGAUCUGUAGCUGGUCUGAGAGGACGACCAGCCACACUGGGACUGGGACACGGCCCAGACUCCUACGGGAGGCAGCAGUGGGGAAUUUUGGACAAUGGGCGAAAGCCUGAUCCAGCAAUGCCGCGUGUGUGAUGAAGGCCUUCGGGUUGUAAAGCACUUUUGGCGGGAACGAAAAGGACUGUGCCAAUACCACGGUUCGAUGACGGUACCCGCAGAAUAAGCACCGGCUAACUACGUG